Molecule: ribosomal RNA, 517 nt
Filed under: uncultured bacterium
Lineage: Bacteria
Description: bacterial SSU rRNA
Rfam family: Bacterial small subunit ribosomal RNA
Source: RNAcentral
GAACUUAGCAGAGAUGCUUUGGUGCCUUCGGGAACUCUGAGACAGGUGCUGCAUGGCUGUCGUCAGCUCGUGUUGUGAAAUGUUGGGUUAAGUCCCGCAACGAGCGCAACCCUUAUCCUUUGUUGCCAGCGGCUCGGCCGGGAAACUCAAAGGAGACUGCCGGUGAUAAACCGGAGGAAGGUGGGGAUGACGUCAAGUCAUCAUGGCCCUUACGGCCAGGGCUACACACGUGCUACAAUGGCGCAUACAAAGAGAAGCGACCUCGCGAGAGCAAGCGGACCUCAUAAAGUGCGUCGUAGUCCGGAUUGGAGUCUGCAACUCGACUCCAUGAAGUCGGAAUCGCUAGUAAUCGUAGAUCAGAAUGCUACGGUGAAUACGUUCCCGGGCCUUGUACACACCGCCCGUCACACCAUGGGAGUGGGUUGCAAAAGAAGUAGGUAGCUUAACCUUCGGGAGGGCGCUUACCACUUUGUGAUUCAUGACUGGGGUGAAGUCGUAACAAGGUAGGCGUAGCGAG